CUUCCUUCAAUCUCGUCAAGUAACACACCACCAAUGGGGAAUCGACACUCCAUUUUUUUUGCAUUCUUCUCGUUGCAUCAACAUGUUAGUAAUUGCUCCUACAUUCAUCAUCUAACAAGUCACAAAGACUCCCAAAGUAAUCUGUAUGCCAAAUGGUCCCAUGCAUGCUGGUGCUACCGAAGCGUAAGUGAAUAAGCAUUGCCAGGCAUUAGUCAUGUAUCAUUUUGUGUUGCAGAAGGUGGAGGGGAAGACUGUGGUGUGCAAUGGCAAUGGCCAGGAUACAGAGAGGGGCAAGGAGGCGACAGCUGCCGGAGGAGCAGCAGGGGUAGUGAUCGUUGUGAACGCUAAAAGGGAACAAGGUCCUCCAUUUCCUGAACCUCACUAUCUCCAUAGAGCAAGUAUUUGUGACUAACUUUUCAAGAUUAACUUCUGUUACUGAAUGUUGUUAUGUAGUUUGAUGAUUAUUUGAAUGGUGUGUUCAAUCUGCAGGUCUCCAACACCAAGAAUUAUUAGUGUAACUGGUUUCAAUUUGCAUAAGUAAAAUUAUAUUUCAUAUAAAAAUUAUUAGUGUAACUGGUUUCAAUUUAUUACAAAGAAGAAGCAGAUUACAUCACCAAGAAUAUAAUAUCCAAAAAGUCAUUUAGGGGCAACAGGUGUCCAACACAGAGAAAUUAUAUGACGCAAUUUGGAGCCCAGCACACAGCAGCAUGCAGUCACCCACUUAUUUUCAUCCAGAGCUUUGGCAGCAUGCAUCAUCGAUCACCGAUAAGAAAGUACCGAUCAUCGAGCUGGGUAUUUUUAAUUUAUCGUCAUCACAUGCAACCAACUCGUCGUGGGUUGGCGUGGGUUGUGUAAUUGGUUAUUGAUUAAUGAGUGAGUGUGUGAGGUUGGAUGACGGUUAUCCCACUAACCCGCCAACAUCUAUACUAUAUAUUUAGACUUUUAUAAUCGAUUUUAUACUUUUUAGACUAAAUUUUUUAAUUUUCCGUUGUAAAUUGGAGGGUGUUUCAGCGGCUAACGUGUUUAUGAGAGUUGUUGUUUUGUGCGGGGAGAUUUAUAGAUGUUUGUUUGAGGUUUGGUGUGUUUUUUAUAUUGUUUGGUACGAUUGUCUAUUUAUAACUAUUGUUCUGUUGCUGAUGAUUUGGGUUUCAAUACCGUUAUACAUUUGAGGUUAAAUUUGGC
This 1182-nucleotide long non-coding RNA is filed under the name Linum usitatissimum (flax). Its description in RNAcentral is "long non-coding RNA (LUSI_LNC005436)". Lineage: Eukaryota; Viridiplantae; Streptophyta; Magnoliopsida; Malpighiales; Linaceae. The record is from RNAcentral.